GAGGCAGUAGCUCAGUGGUAGAGCCCCGCUUCGCAUGCGGGGAGACCUGGGUUCGAUUCCCGGCUGCUUCC
This is a transfer RNA of Toxocara canis (dog roundworm), 71 nucleotides long. It matches the Rfam family "tRNA". Rfam says of the family: Transfer RNA (tRNA) molecules are approximately 80 nucleotides in length. Their secondary structure includes four short double-helical elements and three loops (D, anti-codon, and T loops). Further hydrogen bonds mediate the characteristic L-shaped molecular structure. tRNAs have two regions of fundamental functional importance: the anti-codon, which is responsible for specific mRNA codon recognition, and the 3' end, to which the tRNAs corresponding amino acid is attached (by aminoacyl-tRNA synthetases). tRNAs cope with the degeneracy of the genetic code in two manners: having more than one tRNA (with a specific anti-codon) for a particular amino acid; and 'wobble' base-pairing, i.e. permitting non-standard base-pairing at the 3rd anti-codon position. Lineage: Eukaryota; Metazoa; Nematoda; Chromadorea; Rhabditida; Toxocaridae. The record is from Rfam.